RNAcentral lists this ribosomal RNA (433 nucleotides) under uncultured bacterium. RNAcentral's name for it is "partial 16S ribosomal RNA". It matches the Rfam family "Bacterial small subunit ribosomal RNA", at positions 29 to 507 of the family's 1533-position model. The record is from RNAcentral.
AACGAACGCUGGCGGCAUGCCUAACACAUGCAAGUCGAACGAGACCUUCGGGUCUAGUGGCGCACGGGUGCGUAACGCGUGGGAACCUGCCCUUAGGUUCGGAAUAACUCCCCGAAAGGGGUGCUAAUACCGGAUAAUGUCUUCGGACCAAAGAUUUAUCGCCUUUGGAUGGGCCCGCGUUGGAUUAGCUAGUUGGUAGGGUAAAAGCCUACCAAGGCGACGAUCCAUAGCUGGUCUGAGAGGAUGAUCAGCCACACUGGGACUGAGACACGGCCCAGACUCCUACGGGAGGCAGCAGUGGGGAAUAUUGGACAAUGGGCGAAAGCCUGAGCCAGCAAUGCCGCGUGAGUGAUGAAGGCCUUAGGGUUGUAAAGCUCUUUUACCCGGGAUGAUAAUGACAGUACCGGGAGAAUAAGCACCGGCUAACUCCGUG